This is a long non-coding RNA of Cyprinus carpio carpio, 898 nucleotides long. NCBI's taxonomy places the organism in Eukaryota, Metazoa, Chordata, Actinopteri, Cypriniformes, Cyprinidae. The record is from Ensembl.
UCUACAUUUAUUUAUUUCUGUAUUUCCACAUUUCUACAUUUAUUUUCCCUGCGCCUGUAUGCUAAUUGAGUGGGGGGUGCCAACAUCAGUCUGAAGAAGGAUUGGUUAGAGCGAUGUGAUCGAAUCUACUACUACUGCCUUGAUUUCGCUGGUACUCGGUAAUGCUGCUUGAGUUAAUAGAGGCUGUUUUCAGUUUCAUGUAGCCUGGAUGGAGACUUUUGUUCAAGCAAUUGCUAACGAUUUAAGAUCAUUAGCGCAGGAUUGUGAGAACAAUGCGUCCAAUGACUAUCUCCAGUUUCGUUUGUGCAGAGUAAUGGAGGAUUUAGUUCAGAUCAGUGCUGAUAUGGAUGUCGAAGUUGAGGUAGCAGUGCUAGAGAGUCUUCAAGAAAUCCUCCGCCAACUUCACAUUCUCUCUGAGACAGAGGAAGCGACAACUGGACGGCCAUCGUACCCUUUACCACCUGAUAUAAUUGAAGCUCACCUCCUUUUGGGGCACACUGCUGGAGAAAUUGCGCAGUUGUUCGGAGUGUGCGAGAGAACAGUUCGUCGAAGGAUGACACAAUAUGGCAUAAGGUAAUUUUACGUUUUUACACCUUUUAUAACAAGGGACACUUGCUCCGGCUGUUAUUGAGGGUGAGAGGCUGAUCUCUGAUAGACUUCUGACAUAGGAAAAACAGAGAUACACAUUAGACCUUCUGAAAAAGGAGAAAUCAAAUCACCUGGAGUAACGUUAGUUAACACCAGCUGGCCCAGCAGCCUUGCCUGGAUGAUGGCAGGCGCAGGGAAAAUAAAUGUAGAAAUGUGGAAAUACAGAAAUAAAUAAAUGUAGACGUAAAUAAAUGUAUAAAUAAAUAAAUGUAUAAAUAAAUAAAUGUAUAAAUAUAUAAAUACAUAAAUA